CCUCCCAGUAGCGCUGUAGCCACUUCCAGCUCAAUAACCAAGGGGCAAAGUAGCUGCAUAUGUCCAAAGGUUAAAAACGGACAAUUCUCCGUUCCCACCGGAAGCCUGAUCAGUCCCUCAGAAAUUGCCAUUCCUAACGUGUGACGAAGGCUACCGUGCCACACGAAGAAAGUUCACCUGUGCAGAUGAUACCACUCCUCGCUGUAUCCGGAGGGUUAACAACGCGCUGUGUAGUUGUCUGAAUAGACUGGGACGCUGCAUCAAGGGGAGACAAACUGUGGUGAAAGAGUGUUCCUCCUAUUUGGUGAAGUGCUUUACCUGGUCCUCCACACAACACUGUAGCAAUGAAGUGAGAUACAGAACCAACUAUCAGGUUAACAACGGUAACUAUAACAACGGUUAUAAUAACCCUUGGAAUGCGGGGAACGGCUGGGGAAUCUGAAAUAUUCAAUAUAAAUUUGGAAGGACUUUCUUUAAUUAUGUUAUUGCAGGAUGAACUGUUUUGCUGUCUGAUCAUUUCAUUGUGGCAAUAGAUUUUAUAAGUCAAUCAAUUCAUAAUGAUAAGUGUGUAUAACAGUUUUUCAGCCAUGGAGAAAAUGCCCUGGUAUUUGUUGAGGUAAAUUCAUGCUUAAAAUAUUUUGUCCAAUGUUCAAUGUUGGGAAAUAAUUUCAUAUAUUGAUCUUUUACGAUAUAUAAUUAUUAAUUAUGAUACAUUAGAUGUGUCAAAUGCAUUUCUAAGGUUCAUCGAUAAAUUAUGAUCUAUUUGAAAAAACAACUAUCUACGAUUUCACAUAGUAA
Bolinopsis microptera is the source of this 798-nucleotide long non-coding RNA. RefSeq lists it as uncharacterized. The transcript has 3 exons. The record is from RefSeq and is a predicted model, not a curated record. NCBI's taxonomy places the organism in Eukaryota, Metazoa, Ctenophora, Tentaculata, Lobata, Bolinopsidae.